This 459-nucleotide ribosomal RNA is filed under the name uncultured bacterium. Its description in RNAcentral is "partial 16S ribosomal RNA". It matches the Rfam family "Bacterial small subunit ribosomal RNA", at positions 338 to 795 of the family's 1533-position model. The record is from RNAcentral.
CCUACGGGAGGCAGCAGUGAGGAAUAUUGGUCAAUGGUCGGGAGACUGAACCAGCCAAGCCGCGUGAGGGAUGAAGGUACAGAGUAUCGUAAACCUCUUUUGUCAGGGAACAAAGGCGGGGACGUGUCCCCGGAUGAGUGUACCUGAAGAAAAAGCAUAGGCUAACUCCGUGCCAGCAGCCGCGGUAAUACGGAGGAUGCGAGCGUGAUCCGGAUUUAUUGGGUUUACAGGGUGCGCAGGCGGGCUGUUAAGUCAGCGGGCAAAGCCCGGGGCUCAACCCCGGCCCGCCGUUGAAACGGGCAGUCUCGAGUUGGAGAGAAGUAUGCGGAAUGCGCGGUGUAGCGGUGAAAUGCAUAGAUAUCGCGCAGAACUCCGAUUGCGAAGGCAGCAUGCCGGCUCCACACUGACGCUGAGGCACGAAAGCGUGGGUAUCGAACAGGAUUAGAUACCCGUGUAGUC